This 326-nucleotide ribosomal RNA is filed under the name Sandonidae sp. RNAcentral describes it as "SSU rRNA". It matches the Rfam family "Eukaryotic small subunit ribosomal RNA", at positions 626 to 955 of the family's 1831-position model. The record is from RNAcentral. Lineage: Eukaryota; Cercozoa; Glissomonadida; Sandonidae.
GAUUUCUGGCUCGUCGUUCGAUCGGUCGGCCACGGUUUCGUGUGUCAGUGUCGGUCGCGACAGCCAUCCUUCCCAUCGUCGCACGUCGAUCUUCAUUGAUCGUACGUGCGGUAUGGGAUCUGUUACUUUGAAAAAAUUAGAGUGUUUAAAGCAGGCUGCUAUGCUGUGAAUACAUGAGCAUGGAAUAAUAAUUUAGGACUUCGGUUCUAUUUUGUUGGUUUCUAGGACGGAAGUAAUGAUUGAUAGGGAUAGUUGGGGGUGCUAGUAUUCAGCGGCCAGAGGUGAAAUUCUUGGAUUCGCUGAAGACUAACUUAUGCGAAAGCAUU